This 530-nucleotide long non-coding RNA is filed under the name Phoenix dactylifera (date palm). RNAcentral's name for it is "long non-coding RNA (PDAC_LNC022240)". The record is from RNAcentral. Lineage: Eukaryota; Viridiplantae; Streptophyta; Magnoliopsida; Arecales; Arecaceae.
CGAAGUAAUAUCUAGUUACGCAAUCAUUAUUUCUAGUUAAGUAAGAUAUUUAACCCUUUUACAUAAAACUUUUAGAAAAUAUUAACAAAUAGUUGUGAAAACAUGAAAAAUCCUCCUGCUUCUAACUCUAAAAACUCCCAAAUUUCUUUUUCUUUACUUUAUAGAGUCAGAUACCCUACCAAGCUUGUUAAUUUUAUAUUAUUAAGGCUUGAAAGUGGUAAAUAAGUAAUAUUGAAAUACAUAUAGUCAAAUAAGUCAUAGAAAGUGGACUUCCACACUGUUUGGCAUAUGGACUUCAUGACUCAAUUGGAACUUAUGAUCCAAGGGAUAGUAUCUAGGAUACAAAUCUAAACCUUAUGAUCCUAAGUAUGAUCUAUACUAUGAGACCUGACGAGAAACUUAACUAUGCAACUUAAGGAUGCUGACUCUGCAAAAAAAUGUAAAAAUCAGAGCAUCAAAACAUAUUAUGCAAAACCAAAGAGUGACAUAGGAAUAAGACUGCAGUGGAAUAAACAUUAACGAUUAUGUUA